This 194-nucleotide ribosomal RNA is filed under the name uncultured bacterium. RNAcentral's name for it is "partial 16S ribosomal RNA". It matches the Rfam family "Bacterial small subunit ribosomal RNA", at positions 338 to 524 of the family's 1533-position model. The record is from RNAcentral.
CCUACGGGAGGCAGCAGUGGGGAAUUUUGGACAAUGGGCGAAAGCCUGAUCCAGCAAUGCCGCGUGUGUGAAGAAGGCCUUCGGGUUGUAAAGCACUUUUGUCCGGAAAGAAAUCCUUGGCUCUAAUACAGUCGGGGGAUGACGGUACCGGAAGAAUAAGCACCGGCUAACUACGUGCCAGCAGCCGCGGUAAU